AUAAAAUUAAGUUAGUGAGACUAAAUGUUUUCAAAACAUUCAGCGGUGUUAUGCCAUUUUAUG
RNAcentral lists this transfer RNA (63 nucleotides) under Proteocephalus macrocephalus. Its description in RNAcentral is "tRNA-Trp". The record is from RNAcentral. Lineage: Eukaryota; Metazoa; Platyhelminthes; Cestoda; Proteocephalidea; Proteocephalidae.